CAAAGUGCUGGGAUUACAGGCAUGAGCCACCACGCCCAGCCUGGCUGCCAGAGUUCUAGUUAAACAUCUGCAUUUGCCUGUUGGGCAUUUCUACCUCAGUUUACUGCUGUCUACUUAAACUCAACAUGCCCCAGAGCAGGCUCAUCAUGAGUACUGCACACAGUGACGGUCACAGAGCCCUGAAGAAGGAAGGCUAUAGUGGGCAUGUGGUUUACAGAAGCCUCCAUACAUGGCCUACGGCUGGAGAUGGUGGCUGGGAAGCCUCAGAGGAGUGGCUGGGAUUACCGGAAGUGGGCAGUUUGUAGAUCCUUGUGGGGGUAGCAGAGAGGUGGCCUUACCAGAGCAGAGGUUCCUUUUGUGGGUAUGUUCACUGGGGUUGGGUGUGGGGGUAGAGUAGUAAGCAAUUUGGCAUCAAAUUGUGGAGGGCAUGAACACCAGCCCCAAGAAUUUGGGCUUUACCUCAUGAGUGAUGGGGUGACAUUGUAAGAGCAGAAGGGCAUAAUCCCAGCAUUUUGGGAGGCCGAGACUGGCGGAUCACUUGAGGUCAGGAGUUUGUGACCAGCCUGGCCAACAUGGUGAAACCCCAUCUCUACUAAAAAUACAAAAAUUAGCCAGGCAUGGUGACGGGUGCCUGUAAUCCCAGCUCCUCAGAGGCUGAGGCACGAGAAUCGGUUGAACUCGGGAGGCAGAGGUUGCAGUGAGCUGAGAUUGCGCAACUGCACUCCAGCCUGGGCAAUAAGAGCUAAACUUGGUCUCAAAAAAAAAAAAAAGAGGCAUUGUGAGUUUUCUCCCUGUUUGGACUGUAAGAUCCCGGUGGGUGGGGGAGAGACUGUCACACUCUGCACCUUGCAUUCCCUCAGUGUUGAGUACAGAGGCUCCUAACAAAAGUCCAUUGACAAAAGGGCAAUUUCCUUGACAUAAAUAAGGGAGGAGAAGGGGGCUUGCAUUUACUGGAGAAGAGAGGAAGAUUUUGGAUUUAGACAGGUUGUCAGAUGUGCCAGGAGCCAUAUGGGCUCCACUCCAUGUCUGGCCGCCCCCGGGUCUAUCCUGUCUUCAGGCUCCCUGGCAUCUACCAUUUCUUUACAGAGCAGCUGCCAUUAACCACAUUUACUGGGGUUCCUCUCCUUCAAGAUGGGCUGUAGAGCAGAAACCAGCUUUAUUGCUGUGUUCUCUCCCUCCAAAAACAACCUAUCAAACCAAAGAAACAAAACCAGCAUAUAGGCCUUUUCUUGCUUUAUGGGUUAUAUUGCUCUGGAGUGGGCUGUCAAGAAUAAUAAUAUAUAAUAAUGCCUUUCAAUGUAAGGACAUUCCAAAACUUUCUGAGUCUUAGAACGUUCAAAUAGUCAUUGCUUCUGGUCUACAUACAGUUCUUGUCUUCCUUUUGUAGGUGAUAACCAAAAGAUCGUUGUAGGCUGGGUGUAGUGGCUCACAUCUGUAAUCCCAGCACUUUGACAGGCAGAGGCAGGCAGAUCACCUGAGAUCAGGAGUUUGAGACCGGCCUGACCAACAUGGCAAAACCUUGUCUUUACUAAAAAUACAAAAAUUAGCUGGGUGUGGUGGUGCACUCCUGUAGUCCCACCUACUUGGGAGCCUGAGGCAGGAGAAUCACUUGAACCCGGGAGGCAGAGGUUGCAAUGAUCACGCCACUGCACUCCAGUCUGGGCGACAGGCAAGACUCUGUCUCAAAAAUAAAAGGUCAUUGUAAUUCCCCUUUCUUCCCUCAAUCUCUGCCCAUUGCAGAUCGUACAAUCCCUCUCUCUGGCAUAUGCUCUGUGUGUGUGUGUGUGUGUGUGUGUGUGUGUGUGUGUGUGUGUUGCGGGGAUGGGGACAGGGUAUGUCUUUCUUUUU
This is a long non-coding RNA of Symphalangus syndactylus (siamang), 1848 nucleotides long. RefSeq lists it as uncharacterized. The record is from RefSeq and is a predicted model, not a curated record. Lineage: Eukaryota; Metazoa; Chordata; Mammalia; Primates; Hylobatidae.